This 508-nucleotide ribosomal RNA is filed under the name uncultured bacterium. RNAcentral describes it as "partial 16S ribosomal RNA". It matches the Rfam family "Bacterial small subunit ribosomal RNA", at positions 28 to 507 of the family's 1533-position model. The record is from RNAcentral.
GACGAACGCUGGCGGCGUGCCUAAUACAUGCAAGUCGAACGCUUCUUUCCUCCCGAGUGCUUGCACUCAAUUGGAAAGAGGAGUGGCGGACGGGUGAGUAACACGUGGGUAACCUACCCGUCAGAGGGGGAUAACACUUGGAAACAGGUGCUAAUACCGCAUAACAGUUUAUGCCGCAUGGCAUAAGAGUGAAAGGCGCUUUCGGGUGUCGCUGAUGGAUGGACCCGCGGUGCAUUAGCUAGUUGGUGAGGUAACGGCUCACCAAGGCCACGAUGCAUAGCCGACCUGAGAGGGUGAUCGGCCACACUGGGACUGAGACACGGCCCAGACUCCUACGGGAGGCAGCAGUAGGGAAUCUUCGGCAAUGGACGAAAGUCUGACCGAGCAACGCUGCGUGAGUGAAGAAGGUUUUCGGAUCGUAAAACUCUGUUGUUAGAGAAGAACAAGGACGUUAGUAACUGAACGUCCCCUGACGGUAUCUAACCAGAAAGCCACGGCUAACUACGUG